Molecule: long non-coding RNA, 783 nt
Organism: Bos taurus (domestic cattle)
Lineage: Eukaryota; Metazoa; Chordata; Mammalia; Artiodactyla; Bovidae
Source: Ensembl
CCACAUGGCUUGUGGGAUCUUAGUUCCCCAACCAGGGAUUGAACCCAGGCCCUCUGUAGUGAGAGUGCGGAGUUCUAGCCACUGGCCCACCAGAAAAUUCUUUUUUUUUUUUUUUUAAUGUCACUAGGGAGUCGUGGAUAUUUACAUUAUUCUGUAACUCACAACCCAACAGUUUUGUUAUUAAUUAUGCCAGUCACAUAGUUCCAGCUUUGGCCACUAGGAGCUCCUUCAGGUUGCCUCCUGAGUCCCCAUCCUUUUUGGAGCCAUUCCUUACUUUCUGGCAAUGCUUGGACUUUGCCUGACCUAGCCCUGGGAUCAGUCACUUCUUCAAGAAGCCCAGGAAGGAUGUUGCUAACAGGUGCGGCGGGCUCUUCACGGACUGCGCCCCGCUGGAGCCUUGUCAGGACCCCCACUUGUGUUUGGGUACAGAGUUUGUACUCAGAGGGGCAUGGCUGGGUCUCAGAGCGUCACCAGAAGGGGAUACUUGCCAACUGACAAAGGUCAUUCUGGUAGUACUUGUUUCAGUUCUGACGUUUUAUCGGGCAAGAAUUAAAACGUGCAGCUCAAACUGGCUUAAGCUAAACACGUUUCAGCGACUCAACCGAAAAGACGUGGCUGGACCCCAGGUGCAGUUUGACGAGGCUUCUGGCUCCAUUUCUCCUCAGAAAGCAACAGCAACAUCAUCCCUCCCUAACUGGAAGACCAGCCACUCAACAUUGUAGACGUCAGCGCAGUGCGCCGCUCAUCUGCAGUGUCCGGGCGGGGCCGCACCCAGGCGGGAGG